AUUGAACGCUGGCGGCAUGCUUUACACAUGCAAGUCGAACGGCAGCGGGGGCUUCGGCCUGCCGGCGAGUGGCGAACGGGUGAGUAAUGCAUCGGAACGUACCCAUGUUGUGGGGGAUAACGUAGCGAAAGCUACGCUAAUACCGCAUAAGCCCUGAGGGGGAAAGCGGGGGAUUCUUCGGAACCUCGCGCAAUUGGAGCGGCCGAUGUCAGAUUAGCUAGUUGGUAGGGUAAAGGCUUACCAAGGCGACGAUCUGUAGCGGGUCUGAGAGGAUGAUCCGCCACACUGGGACUGAGACACGGCCCAGACUCCUACGGGAGGCAGCAGUGGGGAAUUUUGGACAAUGGGGGCAACCCUGAUCCAGCCAUGCCGCGUGAGUGAAGAAGGCCUUCGGGUUGUAAAGCUCUUUCAGUUGGGAAGAAACGGGUUCUCUAACAUAGGACUCUAAUGACGGUACCG
RNAcentral lists this ribosomal RNA (459 nucleotides) under uncultured bacterium. Its description in RNAcentral is "bacterial SSU rRNA". It matches the Rfam family "Bacterial small subunit ribosomal RNA", at positions 30 to 480 of the family's 1533-position model. The record is from RNAcentral.